GGGGGGGGGGGAUGGGGGGGGCUGACAAUUUUUAAAGUUAGAUUAUUCAUUUAUUCUCAUGCCGUUAAAGGGCAAAUUCUUCAUUUCCACGAUGAUCAGAGACAGAUUACCUAUUUUUUCUUACCUUCAAAAAGGAAAAUUACAUAACUCAAAAACUCUUUAUUUUGUGUGAAGGGGGGGGGGUUAAAAUAGCACCAGACAGGGACAGAUUACAGUUGAGGACAGAUGAUUUAUUUUCAUAAUUUUUGAAGACACGUUAUACAUUUCUAAAACCUGCUUUUCUUUUGUAAUAUAAAGUCAAGUUCCUUUCUCAUAUUUGGUUGUUGUUUCUUUUUCUUAUUUGUUUUUUUUUUUAAUUUAUUCAUUUAUUUUUUGUAAUUCAAAGUUAAAGGAAAAUCUAUUGUAUAAUUGCCUAUUAUAUUACAAUAUUUCUUUUCAGACACUGAUUUACAAAUUAACGCCUCUUUACUUUAUUGAUCCUUGAUUUUAUGCUACUCAAAUAUAGAUUCCAAAUACCGGAAGUUGUCGUCUGAAGUAGAGUUAUCUUUUCUUGGCCUAAGAGUUCAAAACUGUGCAGCAAGCUGGGAUUUUAUGUGGAUAAAAACUAUUUACAUUGGGAAUAUUUGGAAUAUUUGAGUCUGGAUAAGUUCUAGGACAUCAUUUGCAUUAGUGCAUACGAGGAUUUGUGUAACUUUUUUCAUAUCACUGCGACAUAGGAUACGGACAUGUAGACAGAUAACAGGCACCAGUAAAAAAAAAAACCAACCAAAUCAACCCAAAAAUGUAACAUUUGUAAAGGGUUCAGAAAGAGUAGACAACUUCAAAGAUUUCUUAAUAAAGUUUUACAAUGAUUUUUAUAUUUCUACAUUGUUUGUAUUCAUUGGCCCAUUAAUUAAAGAAUGAUGUGGCGUA
Ostrea edulis (European flat oyster) is the source of this 912-nucleotide long non-coding RNA. RefSeq lists it as uncharacterized. NCBI's taxonomy places the organism in Eukaryota, Metazoa, Mollusca, Bivalvia, Ostreida, Ostreidae. The record is from RefSeq and is a predicted model, not a curated record. The transcript has 2 exons.